RNAcentral lists this ribosomal RNA (273 nucleotides) under Clostridioides difficile. Its description in RNAcentral is "partial 16S ribosomal RNA". It matches the Rfam family "Bacterial small subunit ribosomal RNA", at positions 1264 to 1533 of the family's 1533-position model. Lineage: Bacteria; Bacillati; Bacillota; Clostridia; Peptostreptococcales; Peptostreptococcaceae. The record is from RNAcentral.
GGAGCUAAUCCCUUAAAGCUACUCUCAGUUCGGAUUGUAGGCUGAAACUCGCCUACAUGAAGCUGGAGUUACUAGUAAUCGCAGAUCAGAAUGCUGCGGUGAAUGCGUUCCCGGGUCUUGUACACACCGCCCGUCACACCACGGGAGUUGGAGACGCCCGAAGCCGAUUAUCUAACCUGUUGGAAGAAGUCGUCGAAGGUGGAAUCAAUAACUGGGGUGAAGUCGUAACAAGGUAGCCGUAUCGGAAGGUGCGGCUGGAUCACCUCCUUUCUA